Molecule: unclassified non-coding RNA, 240 nt
Filed under: Hevea brasiliensis (rubber tree)
Lineage: Eukaryota; Viridiplantae; Streptophyta; Magnoliopsida; Malpighiales; Euphorbiaceae
Source: RNAcentral
GCUUUGGAUUCAAUCAUGUGCUUCUUUCGCUGCAUAUUACCAUUACUCUCAACGUCUUGUGCCUUUCCCUAGUGAGGAGAACCCAGAGAUCGAUGUUCAGUUGCCUUGUAUGCCUCUUUUGAAAUAUGAUGAAGUACCUAGCUUCUUACAUCCUUCAACUCCUUAUCCUUUCUUGGGGAGGGCAAUUUUGGGCCAGUUCAAGAAUAUUGAUAAGCCUUUCUGCAUCUUGAUGGAAACAUU